UGGGGAAUAUUGGGCAAUGGGCGCAAGCCUGACCCAGCAACGCCGCGUGAAGGAAGAAGGCCCUCGGGUUGUAAACUUCUUUUAUUCGGGACGAAGGAAGUGACGGUACCGAAUGAAUAAGCCACGGCUAACUACGUGCCAGCAGCCGCGGUAAUACGUAGGUGGCAAGCGUUAUCCGGAUUUACUGGGUGUAAAGGGCGUGUAGGCGGGAUGGUAAGUCAGAUGUGAAAACUCAGGGCUCAACCCUGAGCCUGCAUUUGAAACUAUCGUUCUUGAGUGAUGGAGAGGCAGGCGGAAUUCCGUGUGUAGCGGUGAAAAUGCGUAGAUAUACGGAGGAACACCAGUGGCGAAGGCGGCCUGCUGGACAUUAACUGACGCUGAGGCGCGAAAGCGUGGGGAGCAAACAGGAUUAGAUACC
This 418-nucleotide ribosomal RNA is filed under the name uncultured bacterium. RNAcentral describes it as "bacterial SSU rRNA". It matches the Rfam family "Bacterial small subunit ribosomal RNA", at positions 355 to 786 of the family's 1533-position model. The record is from RNAcentral.